RNAcentral lists this ribosomal RNA (440 nucleotides) under uncultured bacterium. Its description in RNAcentral is "partial 16S ribosomal RNA". It matches the Rfam family "Bacterial small subunit ribosomal RNA", at positions 338 to 795 of the family's 1533-position model. The record is from RNAcentral.
CCUACGGGAGACAGCAGUGGGGAAUAUUGCACAAUGGGGGAAACCCUGAUGCAGCGACGCCGCGUGAGUGAAGAAGUAAUUCGUUAUGUAAAGCUCUAUCCGCAGGGAAGAAAAUGACGGUACUUGAGUAAGAAGCCGCGGCUAACUACGUGCCAGCAGCCGCGGUAAUACGUAGGGGGCAAGCGUUAUCCGGAUUUACUGGGUGUAAAGGGAGCGUAGACGGCAGUGCAAGUCUGGAGUGAAAGGCGGGGGCUCAACCCCCGGACUGCUCUGGAAACUGUACGGCUGGAGUGCAGGAGAGGUAAGUGGAAUUCCUAGUGUAGCGGUGAAAUGCGUAGAUAUUAGGAGGAACACCAGUGGCGAAGGCGGCUUACUGGACUGUAACUGACGCUGAGGCUCGAAAGCGUGGGGAGCAAACAGGAUUAGAUACCCUGGUAGUC